Molecule: regulatory RNA element, 78 nt
Organism: Firmicutes bacterium CAG:41
Lineage: Bacteria; Bacillati; Bacillota
Rfam family: pemK RNA
Source: Rfam
AUAAUGAUACUCCCGCCUUGAACGCGUCACUGCAUUGGGUGGCUGGACGAGAACCGUGCAGGGGUGAAAUUCCCGUGA